UUUAGAGGAACCUGCCCUGUAAGCGAUGAACCACGAAUAUCAUAACUUUUUCUAGAAAUUCAGUUUGUAUACCGCUGUUGUCAGUUAGUUUUUUCAGAAAUCUUUCAUUAAUGAGAUAAUCAAUGACUUCAAGUAAAGGUGCAGCUUAUGAAAAAGAUAGAGGUGGGUUACAUUUAUUAGAAUAAAAUGGAUAGAGUUUUUGAAAUAGACUCUUGAAGGUGGAUUUAAUAGUAAAGUUUAAUAAAACUUGAUUUGAGC
RNAcentral lists this ribosomal RNA (258 nucleotides) under Acasta daedalusa. RNAcentral describes it as "partial small subunit ribosomal RNA". Lineage: Eukaryota; Metazoa; Arthropoda; Thecostraca; Balanomorpha; Balanidae. The record is from RNAcentral.